Molecule: ribosomal RNA, 495 nt
Filed under: uncultured bacterium
Lineage: Bacteria
Description: partial 16S ribosomal RNA
Rfam family: Bacterial small subunit ribosomal RNA
Source: RNAcentral
GACGAACGCUGGCGGCGUGCCUAAUACAUGCAAGUAGAACGCUGAAGGAGGAGCUUGCUUCUCUGGAUGAGUUGCGAACGGGUGAGUAACGCGUAGGUAACCUGCCUGGUAGCGGGGGAUAACUAUUGGAAACGAUAGCUAAUACCGCAUAAUAGCAGUUGUUGCAUGACAGCUGUUUGAAAGGUGCAAUUGCACCACUACCAGAUGGACCUGCGUUGUAUUAGCUAGUUGGUGGGGUAACGGCUCACCAAGGCGACGAUACAUAGCCGACCUGAGAGGGUGAUCGGCCACACUGGGACUGAGACACGGCCCAGACUCCUACGGGAGGCAGCAGUAGGGAAUCUUCGGCAAUGGACGGAAGUCUGACCGAGCAACGCCGCGUGAGUGAAGAAGGUUUUCGGAUCGUAAAGCUCUGUUGUAAGAGAAGAACGAGUGUGAGAGUGGAAAGUUCACACUGUGACGGUAUCUUACCAGAAAGGGACGGCUAACUACGUG